RNAcentral lists this long non-coding RNA (2538 nucleotides) under Cucumis sativus (cucumber). RNAcentral describes it as "long non-coding RNA (CSAT_LNC000669)". The record is from RNAcentral. Lineage: Eukaryota; Viridiplantae; Streptophyta; Magnoliopsida; Cucurbitales; Cucurbitaceae.
UAUGGCGCAAAAAUUCUACCAUCCGGAAAAUUGAGGAGGUGAACCAUUUUAACUCCAAGAAGAUACCCAAUUGCCAAGGAUAACACUGCUAUGCACAUGGCGAAGGCCAAUAGCCAACUACAAAUCCUGUUUUUUAGCGGAAAUCGGCUAACGAUCAUCAAAAUCACGGUCAUCGAUGCCAAAAAUGACACUGUAUUAACCCAUAUGUAUAUCGAGUACACUUCGGGUUGUUGGGAUUUCAUUACUCCAGUUCCAGCUGCAAAUAAUACAGUUGUGUUGGAGUAAGAAAAUAGAUCAUAUAAGCCAAAAUUCAUGUAGAAUUCAUUCAAACAAUUUUUUGUAGCAUCGUUGAAACUCGAAUAAACGAAUGGAGUAUCUUGUUGCCAAACGCCACCGGGCGGAUUCACUCCCCCUUGAAAAGUCACAGUCGCGAUGACGGUAGCCACAAGCAUCAUUGUGCCUUGCACUUCUUGAACCCAAUCCCCUUUAUACUUCAGUUUCUUCUUCCAUACCUUCCACAAUCCUAUUGAUUUUUUUUUGGUGCACAAUGAUACCAAUUCUCGUCUUUUUGUUUUGCGGUUUCUCGCCUUUGUGAUCUUUUGUGAUUCUAGUAUUUUUUCUUUUGUGUCGUUUGUUCUAGUUUUUGCUUCUGGAAUUGUGAGUAAAUACCCCACCAUCUACACAAGAAAAACAAUUAUGUAGGAUAUCAAUUCAAUAUGAUAAUUAUCUCAUAUUAUUUUGACUCAAGAACAGAAGAAAAUUAUUCAUUCUUUUCAGCGCUGUUUAUAUAAUAAACAAAGACGUAUACACACACAAUUCAUGUAUCUACAAAUCUGAAUUUAUUUCUAAUAGUUGUUUAAGAUUGCAUGAACAUUAAUUUCUAAUUACCUCAAUUCGUCUUAACGUUAAAGAUAAAUCCAAAAUAGUAUUUCCUUCAUCAUCCAUUGUGUUGAGAAAGUCUUUAUCAAAUAAUAAUGUCUGAGGAAUUAGCAGCUUCAUUCCCUCCAAAUAGUUACCUUCUACACAUAAAUGUAAAACAGUUUUACCAUUAUUAUUGUGGAGGGCCUUCAUCAAAAUAGAUUGUGGCCUUGCUUUUAUCAACAAUUUCAUCAUCUCAAUAUUCUCACUAAUCACUGCGUAGUGAAGAGGAAUGAAGCCAUUAAGAUCUUGAACCAAGCAAGAACUUGUGUUCUUCUCCAACAAAGCUCUAAUAAUCUCCAUAUCCCCGUUAUUUGAACAAGCUAUAUGAAGUGGAGUUCUUUGAAAGGCAUCAACUUCAGUAGCAAGUUGAGGGAUGUGAUCUAAAAGCAACCGAGUGAAUUCAAGGUGGCCCUGAGAAACUGAGAUGUGCAAUAAUGGAGUCUCAGUUGUAAUGGAAGAUGUAUAAAUCAAAACCUUAUGAAUGAGAUUUGGAUUCUCCUUAAUGAAAGUUUUCAAGGUUUGUACACAUCCAAUCUUUGAUGCCUCGUAAAGCUUUCUUAUAACAUCUUCUUCCAUGGAUGAUAUUUCUACUACAACGUGGCUGCUCUGUGCAUCAGAAGAAUUGAGAAGUGAUGUAAUUUCUCGAUGGUUCUCCUCCAUUCUAAUCUCCAUAUCUUCUUGAAUAACCUCACUGAUCUGUAUAUGAAAAGAUCAGUAAAUAGAAUAGAUAAAUUGGAAAGUUAUUUUUGUUAUCUAUCUUCUUUUUUUGUUUGCUGAACAUAUAUAUGUAUGCAUAUAUAUAAUAAUUGAGGGAUUCACUUCAUCACAAGUCUAUGUUUGACUCCUAAAAUCCUUUUCAUUAGAAGCAUUACCAAGAAAUUCAGUGAUCAUAUCUCAUAUGUGGACAAAGGCUUAAACAUACCUUAGAAGAUUUUAUUAAUAUGUUCACAAAUAUUCUAACCCAUAUAUGAAAUAUAAAUGUAGUUAAAUAGAGAUGUUGUACACCAUUGGAAAGUUUGGAUGCUCAUGUUUAAUAUAAAUCAUAUAGUAUAUAUUAUAAAUCGUGGUUGAAAUUCAUUACGUCACAAAUUUUAGGUCUUUAAAGCUCCUAUCAAGAUAGGCUAUUUUAUGACACUUCGAGAAAAGAAUUGUUAAAUUUGUAGAUGACACCAAUAUAUUGUGUUAUGAAAGUAGCGUUUUUUCCAAGUAUAAUUUAGAUAUAAUUAAGAAUAAUGCUCGUUUUUUAAUAAAAAAUUAUUAAAAAAAUGUGAAUAAUCUAUUUGAUUUCAUCGAUCUAAUUAAUCCAAGAGAAUAUGGGAACAUCAAUGUUUCAUUUGUUGUUGUUUUGUUAGACAAUAAUAUAAGAAAUAUUCUUAGUUUCUAGUGGGUAAAAUAACCAAUUAAUACAUAAACACAUCAAUUCUUUACAUUUGAAAAACGAAAAAGGAAAAAGAAAAUGAAAAUGAAAAGAAAAGACCAGUUGGCAGACUCAACUCAAAAUUUUGGGUUGGGUUGGGUUGUCAUGACCCUUACAUAUUGAACUGAUAGAGAUUCAUUUAUUGUCAAUCCGAAUAUUUUGAGUUUUUGCUCCAACUCGAUUCAACCCGACUUAGGUAC